RNAcentral lists this ribosomal RNA (589 nucleotides) under uncultured fungus. RNAcentral describes it as "eukaryotic LSU rRNA". The stretch from base 225 to 378 matches the Rfam family "5.8S ribosomal RNA". The record is from RNAcentral. Lineage: Eukaryota; Fungi.
CUUGGUCAUUUAGAGGAAGUAAAAGUCGUAACAAGGUCUCCGUAGGUGAACCUGCGGAGGGAUCAUUACAAGUGACCCCGGUCUUACCACCGGGAUGUUCAUAACCCUUUGUUGUCCGACUCUGUUGCCUCCGGGGCGACCCUGCUUUCGGGCGGGGGCUCCGGGUGGACACUUCAAACUCUUGCGUAACUUUGCAGUCUGAGUAAACUUAAUUAAUAAAUUAAAACUUUUAACAACGGAUCUCUUGGUUCUGGCAUCGAUGAAGAACGCAGCGAAAUGCGAUAAGUAAUGUGAAUUGCAGAAUUCAGUGAAUCAUCGAAUCUUUGAACGCACAUUGCGCCCCCUGGUAUUCCGGGGGGCAUGCCUGUUCGAGCGUCAUUUCACCACUCAAGCCUCGCUUGGUAUUGGGCAACGCGGUCCGCCGCGUGCCUCAAAUCGACCGGCUGGGUCUUCUGUCCCCUAAGCGUUGUGGAAACUAUUCGCUAAAGGGUGUUCGGGAGGCUACGCCGUAAAACAACCCCAUUUCUAAGGUUGACCUCGGAUCAGGUAGGGAUACCCGCUGAACUUAAGCAUAUCAAUAAGCGGAGGA